AUACACGGUACGUCGCUUUUACAUCACACCGAGGUGGAUCAAAGAAAUCAACUUCCAUAACGCGGUCGUGUAUUAAAAGGCAAAAAUAAAAAUUCUUUUUUCCGAUUCGUCAUAAUAGUUCCCCAAUAGUGUAUUAUAUUGAUCACCUUGCAUUCGCAUGGCGCACAUUGUAUGCACUUCGAAAACCUGCAAGCAAUUUUUAUACAAAAACAUAGUUUCCGAUUAUCUAACGAGAAUCAUUAUUUUGGUUUUUUUUUUUUUUUACGUUUAAUAUAUUAUAAAAACUAUCGUAAACCAUAAAAACCACUCGUGGUCUCGUUAAUAUCGUACGUUCAUUAAAAUGUUAAGCUUGAACUAAACCAAAUAAUAUAAUAUAACGCGGUUGAAAUUGGAAACCAAAGAAAAUAAUAUAGUAAUUAUCAAUUGUAUAAAUACGCGAGCGUGACCAACAAAACAAGCAUAGACGAAUAUUUUCGUAUAGAGUAUG
Non-coding RNA from Cinara cedri, 487 nucleotides. The record is from the annotation of a GenBank genome assembly. Lineage: Eukaryota; Metazoa; Arthropoda; Insecta; Hemiptera; Aphididae.